Molecule: long non-coding RNA, 2344 nt
Filed under: Bactrocera tryoni
Lineage: Eukaryota; Metazoa; Arthropoda; Insecta; Diptera; Tephritidae
Description: uncharacterized LOC120771512, transcript variant X3
Source: RNAcentral
UUUCCAAUGGCAAGGGAGUCGUCUUAUUAUCUUUGCUUCUUGUUGUGUGGUGUAAUAAUUUAAAAUUGUUUAAAUUUGAAAAAAUUUUAAAAUGCCACGAAUUCGAAAAUGUUGUGUGCGUGGGUGUAAUAACGAUAACAAAAAGUGCAAUGUGUUCAUUUGGCCGAAAAAUGAAAAAAUCGCAAGAAAGUGGUGCCGAAAUCUAGGCUUCGAGGGAAGAAAAAUAGCCAUCACAAACACGUUUGUUUGUGCAAUGCAUUUUGAGGAUUAUGCACUAGGGGCUAAGAGAUUAAAAAUUGGAGCUGUUCCUACUCUAAAACUUGGAAAAUCUGAUGAUGCUGUUUACUUGUCAAUAAAGAAGAGUAAUGAAGUACGGACCUGCUGUGCUAAGGGAUGUCCAUCGGAUGAAAAAGGCAUACUUUUUGCAUUCCCCGAUGAUGAGAUUGACUUCGAUAACUGGGUUUUAGCGUUAAAAAUAAGUACAUCAUACUCCGACCGAAGAAAGUUAUUUAUUUGUGACCGUCAUUUUGAUGUGGACUCUAUUAUAAAUAAGAAACUUAAGGAAGGAGCUAUCCCGAAGCAUAAUUUAUUUUAUGAAACUGUAGGUAAUUGUAGCAGCUUUUCUUCGAAUAGAGUCCUUCAACCUACUAAACGUCAGUAGUCAUAUACUAAUCAGAAAGGAUAGGGGAAUACUUAAGUUUGGAGGACUUCCAAUUAUAUUGGGAUCUCGAGGUGAAACGUUAACAAUACAAUGUUUCCUCCAGCCUUGAUUCCUCAAAAUGUGUCCAAGAAUCUUGCGCAUGAAUUGCGCGAGCUUGUCAGCAGAGUGCUGAUAAGCAAAAUCAACGCAUAAAUGCGCUCAGGUAGGAGAACAGGAUUUUAAAACAAGAAUUAUUUGAGUUAAGGAAUUGGGCAAUUAUUACAUCCAAAAAUUGCUGAUGAGAAUGCAAUAAGUCUUGGUAGAAAGAGUGUGAAUUCAUAAAGUACAUAAACUGAAGAUUAGAACAAUUUAGCGCAUUUAAAUAAUUUAAAAUGUCUAGGAAAUCUUCAAGCACGAACCAAUCUGUGCAAUACUAAUCGACGAAAUUGUAAUUAAAACAUUUUUUUUAAUAAAAGUAAUGUCAUCGACGUUUUCGUUAACAAAGGGGACGGGGAAAAAGGAAUAAAAUGCAGCCGACAAAUGCAGUUUUUUCUAUGUUAGCCUACGUGAAAAGUUCUUUGCCUAUAUGACUACUGCCAUUUGGUUAAGUCGGUUAGGAAAAAUUUCUUAAAGGAAGACUUUAAAAUUAUCGGUGCAUGCAAUCGAUGGUGGGAGUUAUAAUUGUAAAAUAUGUCUGUAGUUGAGAUGCUCCCACAAUGUGGAACCCACAUAUGUAUGUAUGUAUAUAUGUAUGUAUAUCCCAGUAAUUAAAAAAAUGGUCCUUUCAAGAUGGCAUCGACAUGGAAUUCAGGCAGGGAUUAUUACGUACUAUUCAAAUGCGCCAAAGUGACAUACAUAGUAUGUAAUUGUUUGUGAAGCGCAUGAACGACUUAAUCGAUUGCAAUAUUUAUCAUAACAAUAACAGCUAUGAUGAAUUUAACAAUAGAAACCUCGGUUUUUACGGAUAGUGGAUAGAACUAAAAAAUACUUUAGCGGAAUGGUUUUUAGAAACUCUUUAAUGCCUAAACUAUCGACAACAACUGUUAAAAUCUUUAGUAACAGUACUCUUAUUUAAAAAUGAGAAAUGGUUGGUUGAAGAAAAGCUGCAAGAAAACAUUUACCUACUUUAGAAUAAUAAAUUAAAAAAUUUAACAAAAGCAACGGGAUUAUGUAGUACUUAUUUUGGAUUAAUGGCACUGAGUACAAGGCGCGUGUUUGUAUGUGCUGCCUUCAUAAAUACAGUUUGCAAAAAUACGUUUUUUUCCUUGCGUAACAGUUGUUUAAUUUGUUAUGCUUUGAUUUUUUGGCGGUAGAAAUAACGGACACAACAACGUACAUAUGUAUGUAUUGAUAAAAAGCGCAACCACGAAAGAAAUAUUAUUUUUAUGGAAGCAGAGUUUAGUGCCAAAAAAUGAAAAGGAAGACGAGUUGAGCGAAUAUACAUAUUACGUGACAUUAAGGAAAUUUCAAACAAAAUUCCAUUUUAUCGGGAUCCGUCAAAUUGGGGUAUUUUUAAAAAGUUAGAUGAGAUCUUCGGCAGCCGCAGGUGUCUAGUAAAAUUAUCAGAAAUUCGUUGUGGAAUAUUUAAUAAACGAGGAACCAGUGGCAUCCACCGAUAAUCAAUCUGGCAUUAAACCUUCGAAUAUCACCACUCCGAGAAGUAUUUUUUAUUAGCGAUCUUGAACGGCGACAAUCCCUCCAUAU